GCCACAUCCAGAGCAUCACUCAGGGGGACAGAGUUUGACUGGCCCUUGGGAAUCCAUCAUAACUCCAAUCCCUCAUGAUACAGAUAAGGAAACUGAGAUCCAAGGAGGGGUGAGGACAUGCUUCCAGGUCCCAGAGCCAGCCAGUGGCAGCCUGGGAUGUAGAAACUGAAGCAUAGGGAGGCUCAGUAAUAUGCUGGAGGUUGCACAGCAGGUGAUUUUAAUAUGCAGCCAGAGUUGAGAGCCACUGUCUUGACUUGGAAGAGGCAAACAAGAAGCCGAUGUUACAACAUGAUUCAAUAUGAGGCAGUAUGACAAGGCUGGCGAGAAGAGUAUGUCGGUGCUGAAAUCAGAGGCACUUCUCCCAAGGGGCCCAGCAAAGGGAUCACAGUGACAAGAUAAACAUUAACUGCCACAGAAUCCUGAAUGUGGGCACCUCAGUAUGAUCGAUAGGAAAAGAAGAUCUUCUAAGAGCCCGUAGGGUUCAUGCGAAAGCAUUCGGGGGGUGGGGUGAGAUGAACAGGGUUGACAAUGUGACAGCCAAAGUACCCGGCUUUUG
This is a long non-coding RNA of Canis lupus familiaris (dog), 556 nucleotides long. RefSeq lists it as uncharacterized. The transcript has 3 exons. Lineage: Eukaryota; Metazoa; Chordata; Mammalia; Carnivora; Canidae. The record is from RefSeq and is a predicted model, not a curated record.